Molecule: long non-coding RNA, 217 nt
Organism: Micropterus salmoides (largemouth bass)
Lineage: Eukaryota; Metazoa; Chordata; Actinopteri; Centrarchiformes; Centrarchidae
Exons: 3
Source: RefSeq, a predicted model, not a curated record
AACAGAUGGCUGGACGAGCAGGAAGGAAAGGGGUAGACACUGAAGGUGAGAGUGUGCUGGUGUGUAAGGAGGCAGAGCGUCAGAAAGGUAUUAGUCUCCUUAAAGGUGCUCUUCAACCAAUCAGCAGCUGCCUGGUGAGAAGGGAGGGAGAGGGCAUCACCACCAGCAUGCUGCGAGCCAUCCUAGAGAUCAUUGUCGGAGGUGUGGCCAGCACUCC